AAGUCGAACGAGAGAUGAGGAGCUUGCUCUUCAAAUCGAGUGGCGAACGGGUGAGUAACGCGUGGGUAACCUGCCUUGUACAGGGGGAUAACAGUUGGAAACGGCUGCUAAUACCGCAUAAGCCCACGGUACCGCAUGGUACUGAGGGAAAAGGAUUUAUUCGCUUUAGGAUGGACCCGCGUUGGAUUAGCUAGUUGGUGAGGUAACGGCCCACCAAGGCGACGAUCCAUAGCCGACCUGAGAGGGUGACCGGCCACAUUGGGACUGAGACACGGCCCAAACUCC
RNAcentral lists this ribosomal RNA (285 nucleotides) under uncultured Eubacteriales bacterium. RNAcentral's name for it is "uncultured Clostridiales bacterium partial 16S ribosomal RNA". It matches the Rfam family "Bacterial small subunit ribosomal RNA", at positions 59 to 339 of the family's 1533-position model. Lineage: Bacteria; Bacillati; Bacillota; Clostridia; Eubacteriales. The record is from RNAcentral.